UGCGAUAUGGGGACUCCGAGUGCGAGGGCAUAUCAGUCCUCGCUUUUUUGUGCCGUAAAGGGUACACCAACAAGGACUGGGCAAGAACGGUGCCAGCCGCCGGGGUAAUUCCGGGAGCCCGAGUGAUGGCCGAUCUUUUUGGGCCUAAAGCGUCCGUAGCUGGGUGCGCAAGUCCGUCGGGAAAUCCACCCGCCCAACGAGUGGGCGUCCGGCGGAAACUGGGCAGCUUGGGACCGGAAGGCUCCAAGGGUACGUUCGGGGUAGGAGUGAAAUCCCGUAAUCCUGGACGGACCACCGAUGGCGAAAGCACUUCGAGAAAAACGAUUCGACCGUGAGGGGCGAAAGCUAGGGUCCCCAACGGAAUAGAUACCCGGGUAGUUCUAGCGGAAACAUGUCCGUAGGUUGGCACCAAUACCAUCUGUGGCUGUGCCGUAGGAAGCGAUAACGAACGCUGGGAAGUACGUCCGCAGGAUGAAAUUAAGAUUUUACGGGA
Molecule: ribosomal RNA, 493 nt
Filed under: uncultured bacterium
Lineage: Bacteria
Description: bacterial SSU rRNA
Rfam family: Archaeal small subunit ribosomal RNA
Source: RNAcentral